GUAGCUGGCUGAGUUAGUCCCUUGUUAAAUCCACCGAAUUAAUCGUUGGAUUGCGGGGGAUACUGCUCGGCUAGGGGACGAGAGAGGCAGACGGUAUUUCUGGGGUAGGGGUGAAAUCCUAUAAUCCCAGGAGGACCACCAGUGGCGAAGGCUGUCUGCUAGAACGCGCCCGACGGCGAGGGAUGAAAGCUGGGGGAGCGAACCGGAUUAGAUACCCGGGUAGUCCCAGCUGUAAACGAUGCAGACUAGGUGUUUGGACGGCCACGUGCCGUUCUAGUGCCGCA
Molecule: ribosomal RNA, 284 nt
Filed under: uncultured archaeon SYA_2000_36
Lineage: Archaea
Description: partial 16S ribosomal RNA
Rfam family: Archaeal small subunit ribosomal RNA
Source: RNAcentral